RNAcentral lists this ribosomal RNA (1445 nucleotides) under uncultured bacterium. Its description in RNAcentral is "bacterial SSU rRNA". It matches the Rfam family "Bacterial small subunit ribosomal RNA". The record is from RNAcentral.
GAUGAACGCUAGCGGCAGGCUUAACACAUGCAAGUCGAGGGGCAGCAUGGGAGUAGCAAUACUUCUGAUGGCGACCGGCGCACGGGUGCGUAACGCGUAUGCAACCUACCUGUAACAGGGGGAUAACACUGAGAAAUCGGUACUAAUACCGCAUAACACUAUGAGAGGCAUCUCUUGUGGUUGAAAGUUUCGGCGGUUACAGAUGGGCAUGCGUUGUAUUAGCUGGUUGGUAAGGUAACGGCUUACCAAGGCGACGAUACAUAGGGGGACUGAGAGGUUAACCCCCCACAUUGGUACUGAGACACGGACCAAACUCCUACGGGAGGCAGCAGUGAGGAAUAUUGGUCAAUGGACGGAAGUCUGAACCAGCCAUGCCGCGUGCAGGAAGACGGCUCUAUGAGUUGUAAACUGCUUUUGUACAAGGGUAAACCUGAAUACGUGUAUUCAGCUGAAAGUACUGUACGAAUAAGGAUCGGCUAACUCCGUGCCAGCAGCCGCGGUAAUACGGAGGAUCCAAGCGUUAUCCGGAUUUAUUGGGUUUAAAGGGUGCGUAGGCGGAUUGAUAAGUUAGAGGUGAAAUGUCCGAGCUCAACUCGGGAACUGCCUCUAAUACUGUUGAUCUAGAGAGUAGAUGCGGUAGGCGGAAUGUAUGGUGUAGCGGUGAAAUGCUUAGAGAUCAUACAGAACACCGAUUGCGAAGGCAGCUUACCAAUCUAUAUCUGACGUUGAGGCACGAAAGCGUGGGGAGCAAACAGGAUUAGAUACCCUGGUAGUCCACGCAGUAAACGAUGAUAGCUCGUUGUCGGCGAUACACAGUCGGUGACUAAGAGAAAUCGAUAAGCUAUCCACCUGGGGAGUACGUUCGCAAGAAUGAAACUCAAAGGAAUUGACGGGGGCCCGCACAAGCGGAGGAACAUGUGGUUUAAUUCGAUGAUACGCGAGGAACCUUACCCGGGCUUGAAAGUUAGUGACUGAUCUGGAAACAGGUCUUCCCUUCGGGGCACGAAACUAGGUGCUGCAUGGUUGUCGUCAGCUCGUGCCGUGAGGUGUCGGGUUAAGUCCCAUAACGAGCGCAACCCCUACUGAUAGUUGCCAUCAGGUCAAGCUGGGCACUCUAUCGGGACUGCCGGUGUAAGCCGGAGGAGGGUGGGGAUGACGUCAAAUCAGCACGGCCCUUACGUCCGGGGCGACACACGUGUUACAAUGGUAGGUACAGAGGGCCGCUACCCAGCGAUGGGGUGCAAAUCUCGAAAGCCUAUCUCAGUUCGGAUUGGAGGCUGAAACUCGCCUCCAUGAAGUUGGAUUCGCUAGUAAUCGCGCAUCAGCCAUGGCGCGGUGAAUACGUUCCCGGGCCUUGUACACACCGCCCGUCAAGCCAUGGGAGUUGGGGGUGCCUGAAGUUCGUGACCGCAAGGAGCGACCUAGGGCAAAACUAAUGACUGGGG